Empidonax traillii (willow flycatcher) is the source of this 716-nucleotide long non-coding RNA. RefSeq lists it as uncharacterized. The record is from RefSeq and is a predicted model, not a curated record. The transcript has 2 exons. Lineage: Eukaryota; Metazoa; Chordata; Aves; Passeriformes; Tyrannidae.
UCUCUCUCUGACAGAGUGCCUACCGCAGGAACGGGAUGACUUUUCUCGCCUGCUGAUGUGGAUGUGGCUGCAGCAACAGGAAAGACAGUGUUAUAUUAAGAGCUGACCACGAUGAUGCUUGACCAGAGAAAAGCGCUCGUGCUUCAAGCCCAUCACCAGGAUCUGCAGGCACGUCCUGCUGGUUUCCCUGUGCUACCCAGGGGCCCAGAUCCGCUUCAACCAGGCUUGGAAUCCAACUUAAACCUCAAAUUAAUACAGAACACUCAAGGGAUCAAGAGGAGAUCAGCAAAAUAUUAGUUUUAUAUAGUGCAGCCGUCCUCCUCCUUUGUGCUUAGUGUGUGAGGUCUUAAUUUUUACUCCUGCUCUAUGGUCUUGUGUUCGUUUGUAGGUGGUUCUGUUGUCCUGCUCUCCUGGACCUGCUCGCAAAAACUUUAAAUAUAUGUGUAUUUUUUAAAUAAACAGAAAAAAAAUGUCUCUUUGCACCUAAAAUAUUGUAGAAGUGACCUUUGUACAUUGAGUGUUGCUGACGUUCAUAAACUGCUUUUUUCUUUUGCCUACUUUUUGCUUCUGUUUUCUGGAAAUUGUCUGUGUGUAAAGGACUGAAAGUAACGUGUACAACGCCGCGUAUUAAACGAGGGGAGGGAGAAGUUUUCUAAUGCUCCAUCUGUGCUUCUUGAAAUAUAUGAUUAAACUUUUCUUUUUAUCAUCACUCUUUA